This 301-nucleotide ribosomal RNA is filed under the name uncultured eukaryote. RNAcentral's name for it is "SSU rRNA". It matches the Rfam family "Eukaryotic small subunit ribosomal RNA", at positions 4 to 308 of the family's 1831-position model. The record is from RNAcentral.
CUGGUUGAUCCUGCCAGUAGUGAUACGCUGUCAUUAAGGACUAAGCCAUGCAUGUGUAAGUAUAAGAAGUACUCGAGACUGCGAAUGGCUCAUUAUAUCAGUUAUAGUUUAUUUGAUAGUCCCUUACUACUUGGAUAACCGUAGUAAUUCUAGAGCUAAUACAUGCGUCAAGAUCCGACUUCGGGAGGAUUGUAUUUAUUAGGUUACAAAACCAACCCUCUCUCGGGAGGUAGUUUGGGUGAGUCAUGAUAAGCAUGAGGAUCGCAGGGCUUUACGCCGGCGACGGAUCAUUGAAGUUCCU